RNAcentral lists this ribosomal RNA (750 nucleotides) under uncultured bacterium. RNAcentral describes it as "partial 16S ribosomal RNA". The record is from RNAcentral.
CGCGAUUACUAGCGAAUCCAGCUUCGUGGAGUCGGGUUGCAGACUCCAGUCCGAACUGAGAGGGGAUUUAGUGAUUGGCCGGACGUCGCCGCCCAGCAGCAUUCUGUACCCCCCAUUGUAACACGUGUGUAGCCCCGGACGUAAGGGCCGUGCUGAUUUGACGUCAUCCCCACCUUCCUCACAUCUUGCGAUGGCAGUCCCGCCAGAGUGCCCAGCAUCACCUGAUGGCAACUGGCGGCAAGGGUUGCGCUCGUUAUGGCACUUAAGCCGACACCUCACGGCACGAGCUGACGACAACCAUGCAGCACCUACAUGCAUGCCCGAAGGACGAAAAGAUCUCUCUUAACAAUCAUGCACAUUUCAAGCCCGGGUAAGGUUCCUCGCGUAUCAUCGAAUUAAACCACAUGUUCCUCCGCUUGUGCGGGCCCCCGUCAAUUCCUUUGAGUUUCACCGUUGCCGGCGUACUCCCCAGGUGGAAUGCUUAAUGGUUUCCCUCAGUCACUGACAAUAUGUCGCCAAUGACCAGCAUUCAUCGUUUACUGUGCGGACUACCAGGGUAUCUAAUCCUGGUCGAUACCCGCACUUUCGAGCCUCAGCGUCAAUCGCCACCCCAGGAGACUGCCUUCGCAAUCGGAGUUCUUCGUCAUAUCUAAGCAUUUCACCGCUACACGACGAAUUCAUCUCCCUUGUGUGUAUUAAGACCGCCCGUUUCACGGCAUGCCAAGGUGGGGCCAUGAAAUUUAACCGCUG